Non-coding RNA from Erythranthe guttata (spotted monkey flower), 300 nucleotides. NCBI's taxonomy places the organism in Eukaryota, Viridiplantae, Streptophyta, Magnoliopsida, Lamiales, Phrymaceae. The record is from RefSeq and is a predicted model, not a curated record.
AUAUAAGUGUCGAGCGUACUAAAGCUCUCACUCAAGGUUUAAGCUUAAAGAUGCACCUAUAGAACUAGCAUUGGACUCCAGGUAAAAGAAAGAUUUAUACCUAAAUUUUCAUACUAAGAGUUAAAGCUCGUGUAUGCCUCCGAUUAGUCUCGUCGAGAGGUAUCUCUAUUUAUGUUCCGUAUAGGAAUCCUUUGAUCGAGAAUUUUGUAAUAGAGUAAGUGGUGUCGAAGUCGACUUGUAAUAGAACCUCCUUUUGUAAACACGAUGGUAUAGAUAUUGGGGGUUUAAUGUUUUGAUCAU